This 1027-nucleotide ribosomal RNA is filed under the name Serratia marcescens. RNAcentral's name for it is "partial 23S ribosomal RNA". It matches the Rfam family "Bacterial large subunit ribosomal RNA", at positions 1778 to 2802 of the family's 2925-position model. Lineage: Bacteria; Pseudomonadati; Pseudomonadota; Gammaproteobacteria; Enterobacterales; Yersiniaceae. The record is from RNAcentral.
CGAAGAUACCAGCUGGCUGCAACUGUUUAAUAAAAACACAGCACUGUGCAAACACGAAAGUGGACGUAUACGGUGUGACGCCUGCCCGGUGCUGGAAGGUUAAUUGAUGGGGUCAGCCGCAAGGCGAAGCUCUUGAUCGAAGCCCCAGUAAACGGCGGCCGUAACUAUAACGGUCCUAAGGUAGCGAAAUUCCUUGUCGGGUAAGUUCCGACCUGCACGAAUGGCGUAAUGAUGGCCAGGCUGUCUCCACCCGAGACUCAGUGAAAUUGAACUCGCUGUGAAGAUGCAGUGUACCCGCGGCAAGACGGAAAGACCCCGUGAACCUUUACUAUAGCUUGACACUGAACAUUGAGCCUUGAUGUGUAGGAUAGGUGGGAGGCUUUGAAGCGUGGACGCCAGUCUGCGUGGAGCCAUCCUUGAAAUACCACCCUUUAAUGUUUGAUGUUCUAACUCGGCCCCGUGAUCCGGGGUGAGGACAGUGUCUGGUGGGUAGUUUGACUGGGGCGGUCUCCUCCCAAAGAGUAACGGAGGAGCACGAAGGUUAGCUAAUCACGGUCGGACAUCGUGAGGUUAGUGCAAAGGCAUAAGCUAGCUUGACUGCGAGAGUGACGGCUCGAGCAGGUACGAAAGUAGGUCUUAGUGAUCCGGUGGUUCUGAAUGGAAGGGCCAUCGCUCAACGGAUAAAAGGUACUCCGGGGAUAACAGGCUGAUACCGCCCAAGAGUUCAUAUCGACGGCGGUGUUUGGCACCUCGAUGUCGGCUCAUCACAUCCUGGGGCUGAAGUAGGUCCCAAGGGUAUGGCUGUUCGCCAUUUAAAGUGGUACGCGAGCUGGGUUUAGAACGUCGUGAGACAGUUCGGUCCCUAUCUGCCGUGGGCGUUGGAAGAUUGAGAGGGGUUGCUCCUAGUACGAGAGGACCGGAGUGAACGCACCACUGGUGUUCGGGUUGUCAUGCCAAUGGCAUUGCCCGGUAGCUAAGUGCGGAAAAGAUAAGCGCUGAAAGCAUCUAAGCGCGAAACUUGCCUCAA